Molecule: ribosomal RNA, 255 nt
Filed under: uncultured soil bacterium
Lineage: Bacteria
Description: partial 16S ribosomal RNA
Rfam family: Bacterial small subunit ribosomal RNA
Source: RNAcentral
AGGACGAACGCUGGCGGCGUGCUUAACACAUGCAAGUCGAGCGGAAAGGCCCUUCGGGGUACUCGAGCGGCGAACGGGUGAGUAACACGUGGGCAACCUGCCCCUAGCUCUGGGACAACUCCGGGAAACCGGGCUAAUACCGGAUACGAUCUUCCACGGCAUCUCGGAAGAUGGAAAGUUUUUUCGGCUAGGGAUGGGCCCGCGGCCUAUCAGCUUGUUGGUGAGGUAACGGCCCACCAAGGCGACGACGGGUAG